GGUAAGGCCCCUUCGGGGGUACACGAGUGGCGAACGGGUGAGUAACACGUGAGGUAAUCUGCCCUGCACUUCGGGAUAAGCCUGGGAAACUGGGUCUAAUACCGGAUAUGAACUCCAUCCGCAUGGUGGGGGUUGGAAAGUUUUUCGGUGCAGGAUGAGCCCGCGGCCUAUCAGCUUGUUGGUGGGGUAAUGGCCUACCAAGGCGACGACGGGUAGCCGGCCUGAGAGGGUGAUCGGCCACACUGGGA
Molecule: ribosomal RNA, 248 nt
Filed under: Dietzia sp. ITRH56
Lineage: Bacteria; Bacillati; Actinomycetota; Actinomycetes; Mycobacteriales; Dietziaceae
Description: partial 16S ribosomal RNA
Rfam family: Bacterial small subunit ribosomal RNA
Source: RNAcentral